RNAcentral lists this long non-coding RNA (1606 nucleotides) under Callithrix jacchus (white-tufted-ear marmoset). RNAcentral's name for it is "lncRNA (ENSCJAG00000082449.1)". The record is from RNAcentral. Lineage: Eukaryota; Metazoa; Chordata; Mammalia; Primates; Cebidae.
GUUAAAAUGCAAUUCGAAAUUGAAUGUUCGCCAAAUUCCCUGGGUGGGGCUUCAUGACUAGUUCUGGUCAAUGCAUUUUGAGUGAAAUGAUGUAUGUCGCUUCUUGGCUGAGAUAGUUAAAAGCUGUUACCCAAUCCUUCAGCUCUCCCUCCCAUACUCCAACUAAAGAGACCACAUGUCGACAUGGUGGAACCACCUGAUAGAAGCUCGUGAAACACCACGGGAAGAAUAGCUGUUCUGGAGAGCCCUUCAAAACCCAAAUUGGACUUUGCAUAAGCCAGAAAUAAAUUUUCAUAUAUGAACCUUCCCUGUGAGUCAACUUGAAAGUAUAAGCCUUGAAAAUACCAGUGCUCUUUCAGGAAGUACCUCUGGCAGCUGGGAAAAUAUGGAAGUAGCCUCUGUGAUUCGAUGGAUGAAUUGGUUCCAUUCUUACUUGCCUGAAGAAUGGUCUUCAAGCCCUUCUGCACGCAUCUUAAGCAUACACGUGGGUAUUCAGAACAUGACCUCUCCUCUGUCAACACAAAAAGAAACAAAAUUAAGGACCUCUCCCAAGUGCUUAGGUAAUCUUUAAGGCUUUUUGUGGGUUUGGGACAUUUUGGGAUCACCUUGGUCUUAUAAACCAAUACAAUUGCUGAGAUGAUUUUCACCAGUGCAGAUGAAUAAUAUCCUAUCUUUGGAAAUGACAGAAUCAAAUAAAAAACACUGAGAUCCACAAAUGAAUUAUUGGCCUAGAACAGGUCCACUUUCUGGAGAGAAUAAGAAAAUAUUAAGAAUUGCAGUAAAGAAUACUGAAGUCUUUUUCUCUCAGGGCUCAUGUGUCUAGGCUGUUGAGAUUUGCUAAGACAUUUCCAGAAGCUGACCCAAAACCUGUAUUUUGGUGUUAGCAUCUGCCAUUCCACAAAUUUACUCCAUCAUCCAGACAAUUCAUACAGCUUGCUCUUCCUUUGUUUAACCUCAUUCCCUCGGCUUGGAACGUGCUCAUUAACUUUAUCCGAGCCAACUCAUCCUUUGGUGACCAGAUAAAUAUACCACCUCCCCAAAGCCUUCCGCCCCAUGCCAGGUCUAAGAGAGACUCGAGCCUCCCAACUCCUGGGGCACUUUUGGUGAUUCCAAUGGUAGUGACGCAAUCUGCUUUGCAUAGGAAUUACAACCAGAAGGCAGGUUUCUUGACAUUAAGAACCAUUUCUCCUUUGUGUUUGUAUCUCUACAAAAUUGAGUAUGGAUUUCUCAGCCAACAUUUAUUGAGAGAUUAAAUUUGAAAUUACGUUAUUGGUUUCUUUUUAGAUUGUUCAUUCAGCAUAUAGAAAUGCUACUGAUUUUUGUACAUUGGUUUUGUAUCCUGCGACUUUACUGAAAUUAUCAGUUCUGAUAGGUUUUUGAUGGAGUCUUUAGGUUUCUCUUAAUGUAUAUGUUGGCAAUGAAAUGAUCAGAUUUCUUCCUUAAACAUAAGCAGUCCUGUAGAGAACAUGAACUGUAGUCUUGUUUCGCUUCCUUUAAUCACGAACUAUUCAUUUGUUUACUCAUGCUUUUAAUAAGCAUUUGAUUGACUUUUAAGGAUGGCACUUAGGGGCCAAAGGGCUUGGCAAUAAGUGGGAAAAGACUGCAG